Molecule: long non-coding RNA, 1201 nt
Filed under: Chinchilla lanigera (long-tailed chinchilla)
Lineage: Eukaryota; Metazoa; Chordata; Mammalia; Rodentia; Chinchillidae
Description: lncRNA (ENSCLAG00000026252.1)
Source: RNAcentral
UGAGACUUCACAAAACUCAGAACACACUUCCCUUAGGGCUUGGAAUUCAAAGGACUAAUUGCUUGAACUGGAUAGGGUAUGGGGUCCUGCUUCCAACAGGGGCACAGGUAUGGCUUUGUAGCCACCCAGGUCGUGAAAUUGGAAUAAACUGAGAAGGCUUUAACUUAGUCUGACCAGGGACAUGGGCUCGGGGUUGGUUUUCCUGGGUUAGAAGGGGUUUCUGAGAUUUGUCUGAACACAGGCCUCUAUGUGGCUGUUACCCAGUAUGCUUUCCCUUGCAGAUACCUCAGGAUGAGUGUGCAGAAUCCGUCACCUCUGUAUGAGCUGGCCAAGCAGAGCCUGCUGAAGAGUGCGACCAUAGCCAGCGCUGCUCUGCAUGAUCUGCCCAUCCUGAUCUUCCAUGACUUAUUCAUGGACGCCUUCAUGGGGGAACACAAUGAGGUCCUGAAGAUGAUGGUGCAGACCUGGCCAUUCCCCUAUCUACCUUUGAGGACCCUAAUGGAAUUGAGAAAACACAAGAUGCCGCGCACUCAGUCUGGAGAAAUCACACUGCAACAGAGAGACCUACAGACAUUACAAGCCAUACUGGAUGGAAUUGAUAUACAGCUGUCCCAGAAGACUCCGCACAGGUGGAAACUGCAGGCGCUGGACUGGAGGAAUGUGAACCAGGACUUCUGGACUGUAGGCCCCAGAGCUGUAAGUGCCGCCCCCUUCGGCAAUGGCGGAAAUAAGGAAAUCAGCAAUCCUGGGUUAAGUGAGAAGAACCCAACCUUGAGAAUAUUCGCAAACAUUUGCUUUGAAGCCUGGAGUCCGCUUUGUGCCACCGAUGAUCAAUUACAGCUCUGCCUCUUGAAGUGGGCCAGGAGGAGAAAGGCUUCAGUGCACCUGCACUGUGAGAAUGUGAUGAUCCUGUCCAGUGCUGUCUUUAAGAUCCUGAAGCUUCUGCGCGCUGUGCGACUGGAUUCUGUCCACGAGCUGGAGGUGAUUAGUCACUGGUGUCCAGAAGGCAUGAAAGCAUUUGCUCCUCAGCUAAGGAAGAUGGAAAACCUUCACACAUUUCACUUCAGAAGUCUGAGUUCAGAAGCGUUUACAUCAACCAGGGAAAACAAGUGGUAUUCCCGCAUCUGCACUUCUCACUUAGGGCAGCUGAAAAAUCUCCGGGAGCUUCAGAUGGAUGAAGUCUCCUUCCUGGAGGGAAAUC